UUUGUCCUACGGGAGGCAGCAGUGAGGAAUAUUGGUCAAUGGGCGCGAGCCUGAACCAGCCAAGUCGCGUGAGGGAUGACGGCCCUACGGGUUGUAAACCUCUUUUGUCGGGGAGCAAAUUCCGCCACGUGUGGCGGAGUCGAGAGUACCCGAAGAAAAAGCAUCGGCUAACUCCGUGCCAGCAGCCGCGGUAAUACGGAGGAUGCGAGCGUUAUCCGGAUUUAUUGGGUUUAAAGGGUGCGUAGGCGGACUGUCAAGUCAGCGGUAAAAUACGGGGGCUCAACCUCCGCCCGCCGUUGAAACUG
This 305-nucleotide ribosomal RNA is filed under the name uncultured bacterium. Its description in RNAcentral is "bacterial SSU rRNA". It matches the Rfam family "Bacterial small subunit ribosomal RNA", at positions 333 to 635 of the family's 1533-position model. The record is from RNAcentral.